Molecule: ribosomal RNA, 638 nt
Filed under: uncultured bacterium
Lineage: Bacteria
Description: partial 16S ribosomal RNA
Rfam family: Bacterial small subunit ribosomal RNA (bases 1-539)
Source: RNAcentral
CCUACGGGAGGCAGCAGUGGGGAAUAUUGGACAAUGGGCGAAAGCCUGAUCCAGCAAUUCCGCGUGUGUGAAGAAGGCCUUCGGGUUGUAAAGCACUUUAGUGGGGGAAGAAACAGCUUGGCCACACCAAGCCUUGACGGUACCCCAAGAAUAAGCACCGGCUAACUCUGUGCCAGCAGCCGCGGUAAUACAGAGGGUGCAAGCGUUAAUCGGAUUUACUGGGCGUAAAGGGUGCGUAGGUGGCUAUUUAAGUCGGAUGUGAAAGCCCGGGGCUCAACCUCGGAAUUGCAUUCGAUACUGAGUGGCUAGAGUUCGGUAGAGGGCGGCGGAAUUUCCGGUGUAGCGGUGAAAUGCGUAGAUAUCGGAAGGAACAUCAAUGGCGAAGGCAGCCGCCUGGGCCUGGACUGACACUGAGGCACGAAAGCGUGGGUAGCAAACAGGAUUAGAUACCCUGGUAGUCCACGCCGUAAACGAUGAGAACUUGACGUUGGUUCGUUUUACGAAUCGGUGUCGCAGCUACGACGAUAAGUUACUCCGUCCGUCGGGUAGGUACGGCCGGCCGACGGUUAGGUAAACGUUAAAACGGUAAAGUUAGUACGGCGUGAGACGUGCCGACGGACGACGACGAGGGAGGUAGG